UAUGGACUGUUGAAAUGAUUUCCCUGCUAUCUCCAGGAGCCCCUGAACUCAGAAGACGACGUGAGCGAUGAUGACCCCACUGACCUGUUUGACAUUGACAAUGUGGUGGUGUGUCAGUAUGAAAGAAUCAACCGCAGCAAGAACAAGUGGAAGUUUCACCUGAAGGACGGCAUUAUGAACCUCGGUGGGAAAGACUACGUGUUCCAGAAGGCUACAGGAGACGCAGAAUGGUAGUGGGAGUGGGAGUGGGGCAGACUACAUGUAUCAGAAUUCUGUCAUGCUCUCCACAGAAGGAAAUUCUUGGCUCUGUAUCUUCAUAUUUCUUUGCUAUAGCAAAUUUUGUGCUUAAUCAAUAUACUUUGUACUUCACCAUGGUUUUUAUGGUAGCACUUCCGGGGUAUGGUAGCCUUUAAGGCAAUAUAUAUAUAUAUCAGUCAGUCCUUUAAGGCAAUACUUAGCAACAAACUCUUGUCGAAAGAUUUGCAAAGAUUCCUACACAAAUAAGGGGUGCUCCUUGUAUUGAAUUUUUGUCCCCAUUAGGCAUAGUGUUAUAUCAAUGGCUGUCUGUGGAUGGAGAAGUUUUAAAGUUGUGAUUUAAGCGGUGCACAAUGGACUAUUACUGCAUUGUCACAUGGUGCAAACAUUGUUUGGAUUUGAAUACUGUUGUAGGAACACCAUUCCCAUUGAGCUUAAUCCUGGAUAUCCACUAUCUCCAGACUUAUUAAAAGCUUAUUCCUGUAGCAAUCUAGAUGUAGCACUCAAAUGAACAUGAUUUUUUGAAGGAGAAUCUUCUCCAACCGAUCUGAUUUCAUCAUUGAUUUUCACAACUCAUCUACAUGUAGCUUUUGUAUUGUGUACCUCUGCUUCUACAGUUAAAUGUAAGUCUCUUGGCUGAAAAUGAACAUGGACAUGAGUUGUACACGUGUGUUAAUGAUAAGAUUCAUACUUUACUUCAUGGAAAGGAAAGUGGUUGAAAAAAAGAAUUUAAAACAUCUAGAGGAAGCAGACACUCUGAUGUCGUAUGAGCAAGAAAGAAGAAUAUUUAUUGUUGUAUUAAGACCAGUACUGUGUGCCAGUAAUGGUAAGAAUUACACCUACAGCAGCUAAUAUGAAAGCUUGAAUUCAAGCUCUGAUAAUCUAUUAUUAGCUGUUAUUGUCCUAACAUCAUAGUUAAGCAUUAAAUAUGUCAUUGUUUAUGUUUAUUGUGUCUAUUUCAAGUCACCAAAGUAGUAGAACAGUGUAGCUAUCAGGUGCCUUUCCAGUGUCCAGCUUGAAAGUAAAUAUUGAAAUAGCAAGGCAGUACAUGUAUAUCUUUGUAACAAGGCUCAGAAGAACAAGAGAGAGCUAAGGAGACAGACUUGGUCAUUGAUAUUUGUGCAAAGGUAUGAUCCUACAAAUACAUGUAUUUGCUGUUGUACAUGUUGAUGAAGUGUAAUGAAAUUCACAGUUUCAAAAUACACAUUACACGUGGAGCAAACUGGUACAAAACUGCUUAGUGUACAGAGUAUGGCUGCUUUUAGGCCUCUAAUCAGAUCUGUGCAUCUUAAUCCAGUGUCAGCUUUGAUAAACCUUAUUAUACCAGUGGGUGUAACUCUGUUAAAACAACAGUAGCUACAGAAACUUUUAAAUAGUUGUGUUUUUAUGUCCAAGUCAAGUAGGACCCAAGCACCUUUGCCAUUCCUCUGGCCAGCUGGUUUGUUGAUUCUGUAUUUGAAGGGUCCCUUUGUAUAACAAAAGUUGCUGGUACUGUAAACCACACACCCGCAUCUGCAGAACAGGCCACACCCUAUUUGACUUAUACAACAGAAACGUAUUCUUAGUAACGAAAGAGGGUUAGCUCUAUAUUUUGUUAACUUCCCAUACUGUACUGUUAAGUGUUGGCUGUCUCAUUUCAGUGGAGCACACAUUAAAGUUGCCUUAUAUGGGAAA
Branchiostoma belcheri (Belcher's lancelet) is the source of this 1929-nucleotide long non-coding RNA. RefSeq lists it as uncharacterized. The transcript is spliced from 2 exons. The record is from RefSeq and is a predicted model, not a curated record. Lineage: Eukaryota; Metazoa; Chordata; Leptocardii; Amphioxiformes; Branchiostomatidae.